ACCCUAUUAUAAAAAAUGUAAAUAAAUUAUUAGGGUAGUAUUAGUUAUAUUCUUGAAAUUUAAAAAAUUUGGCGGUAUUUUAGUCUUUUCAGAGGAACCUGUCCUGUAAUUGAUAAUCCACGAUUAAUUUUACUUAAUUUACAAGUUUAUAUAUCAUCGUAGUUUGAAUAUCUUAAAAGGGGAAAAAUAUUCAUAAUUUAAAAUUAUAAAAAAAAUCAGAUCAAGGUGUAGCUUAUAAUUAAGCAAGAGAUGGGUUACAAUAAAGUUAUUUAUAUGGUUAUAAUAAUUAAAAUUAUUAUAUAAAGUGGAUUUGAAAGUAAUAUAUUUUAUUUAGUAUAUAUGAUUAAAGCUCUAAAAUAUG
RNAcentral lists this ribosomal RNA (361 nucleotides) under Helictopleurus splendidicollis. RNAcentral describes it as "partial 12S ribosomal RNA". Lineage: Eukaryota; Metazoa; Arthropoda; Insecta; Coleoptera; Scarabaeidae. The record is from RNAcentral.